RNAcentral lists this ribosomal RNA (216 nucleotides) under uncultured bacterium. RNAcentral describes it as "partial 16S ribosomal RNA". It matches the Rfam family "Bacterial small subunit ribosomal RNA", at positions 524 to 736 of the family's 1533-position model. The record is from RNAcentral.
GACGUAGGGCGCGAGCGUUGUCCGGAUUUAUUGGGCGUAAAGAGCUCGUAGGCGGCUUGUCGCGUCGACUGUGAAAACCCGCGGCUUAACUGCGGGACUGCAGUCGAUACGGGCAGGCUAGAGUUCGGUAGGGGAGACUGGAAUUCCUGGUGUAGCGGUGAAAUGCGGCAGAGUAUCAGGAGGAACACCCGGUGGCGAAGGCGGGUCUCUGGGACG